Molecule: transfer RNA, 88 nt
Filed under: Muribaculaceae bacterium
Lineage: Bacteria; Pseudomonadati; Bacteroidota; Bacteroidia; Bacteroidales; Muribaculaceae
Description: tRNA-OTHER
Rfam family: tRNA
About the family: Transfer RNA (tRNA) molecules are approximately 80 nucleotides in length. Their secondary structure includes four short double-helical elements and three loops (D, anti-codon, and T loops).
Source: RNAcentral
AACGGCAUAGCUCAGUUGGUUAGAGCGGUGCGGAAUCCGAACUAUCGGAUAACUCGCACGGUCGGCGGUUCGAGUCCGUCUGUCGUUC